RNAcentral lists this non-coding RNA (27 nucleotides) under Homo sapiens (human). The record is from RNAcentral. Lineage: Eukaryota; Metazoa; Chordata; Mammalia; Primates; Hominidae.
UUGGCUGUGAAAGGAGACCUUAAACCA